CUUUUGCUCUAUAUUUGAAAUAAUAUAGUGGUGCUCAGCCUGCGACUAGUGAGCCAGAUGUAACCUGCUGACUGUUGAUAUGACGCAAGGGAAAGCUUCUAAACACAAAAAAUCCAUUGAAGAGGACAUUACAAGAGCCAAUAAACUGACAGCAUGGACAGAAGGGUGUGAGAAUUGGCAGGAAGUCAGAUGAGGGAAUAUCUAAUGAAAAGAGGAGUCACUGCCACAGAAAUGGAGGAGGCUAUGAAGAAAAGAAACAGAUAUAUAUCUGAUAAAAUCCAGGAUAUAUGUUUCAAUAUUGCUAAAGUCAAUGAUUCUUAAACAAAAUAAAUCUUUUUUAAGUUUU
Non-coding RNA from Parasteatoda tepidariorum (common house spider), 346 nucleotides. The record is from RefSeq and is a predicted model, not a curated record. Lineage: Eukaryota; Metazoa; Arthropoda; Arachnida; Araneae; Theridiidae.